Molecule: ribosomal RNA, 382 nt
Filed under: uncultured Desulfobulbus sp.
Lineage: Bacteria; Pseudomonadati; Thermodesulfobacteriota; Desulfobulbia; Desulfobulbales; Desulfobulbaceae
Description: bacterial SSU rRNA
Rfam family: Bacterial small subunit ribosomal RNA
Source: RNAcentral
CUAGGGGUGCUUCAUUAGGAAGAAUCUGGAGACAGGUGCUGCAUGGCUGUCGUCAGCUCGUGUCGUGAGAUGUUGGGUUAAGUCCCGCAACGAGCGCAACCCUUGCCUUUAGUUGCCAGCAGUUCGGCUGGGCACUCUAAAGGGACUGCCGGUGUUAAACCGGAGGAAGGUGGGGAUGACGUCAAGUCCUCAUGGCCUUUAUGACCAGGGCUACACACGUACUACAAUGGCCGAUACAAAGGGCAGCGACACUGCGAAGUGAAGCCAAUCCCGUAAAAUCGGUCUCAGUCCGGAUUGGAGUCUGAAACCCGACUCCAUGAAGGUGGAAUCGCUAGUAAUCGCGCAUCAGCAUGGCCGCGGUCCGAAUACGUUCCCGGGCCUU